UAGGUAUGUGUGCCGCAGCCGCGGUAAUACGUAGGGGGCAAGCGUUAUCCGGAUUUACUGGGUGUAAAGGGAGCGUAGACGGAUGGACAAGUCUGAUGUGAAAGGCUGGGGCUCAACCCCGGGACUGCAUUGGAAACUGCCCGUCUUGAGUGCCGGAGAGGUAAGCGGAAUUCCUAGUGUAGCGGUGAAAUGCGUAGAUAUUAGGAGGAACACCAGUGGCGAAGGCGGCUUUCUGGACUGUAACUGACGCUGAGGCUCGAAAGCUAGGGUAGCGAACGGG
RNAcentral lists this ribosomal RNA (280 nucleotides) under Blautia luti. RNAcentral's name for it is "partial 16S ribosomal RNA". It matches the Rfam family "Bacterial small subunit ribosomal RNA", at positions 498 to 776 of the family's 1533-position model. Lineage: Bacteria; Bacillati; Bacillota; Clostridia; Lachnospirales; Lachnospiraceae. The record is from RNAcentral.